GUACAAAUGUACAUAUUUAUUUUUAUAUUUAUUUUUGUAUCGCCUGCAUAGAACAUUGCAGAAUGCAAAACAAAAUCCGGUGACAGGGAACUGGGCAUACGGGUUUUGUGUAAAGUUUUAUAUUUCAGAAGGUAUUAUACGCUGACUUGAAUGCUUUUACAAAGUUUACUAAGUUUCUUUUGUAUAUAUACACCUGGACAUAGUAUUGCAACACUUUCAUUGAAAAUAAUGUGAAACAUUACUUUUAUAAAAUGUCGGUAUAGAAGACAAGACAAAGUUUGAAUCACUUUUUCAGUACAGCUCUAAUGAUGUGUCUCUGAUCUCUAGUCUUAAUUUUGCCUGAAAUGUAAGUUGAUAACAUAAAUUCAAUUUUAAACCAUAUAUGGAUUAAAAGAAUUUGGUGAAACCUAAAUUAUUCACAUUCUACACCGUCUUCAAUGGAAGUGUUGCAAUACUUUUUUCCAGGUGUAGUUCUUGACUACGCAACUGCUUACUAGACAACUUGUUUUUUUUUCUACUUUAUUUUCACCGGUCAUUGGUCAUAAUUUCGUUGUUUUAGUUUGUUUAAUGGAUAUUGUAAGCAGUUGAUGUGUGACAUUAUUGAAAAAUGCAAAUGUCUAUCUUGCAGGGUCAUUGUUAUGGCUUAUUGGUCAAUGUGGUCAAUACUGGUAAAGGUUUUUAUGGUUAGGUCUGUUUCUCAUAUACUAGAAGCAAUAGGUAUAAUAUAUUUGAUGAAUGGAAUGAUUGCAAGAUGUUCUUUCCUGUAUGAAAGGAUUUUUCUUUAAUGUUUUCAUGAUAAAAAAAAAAUGUGUAUGCAAUGAAGCAAAAGCUUUAUGACAUUUACCUCUUGUUCAGUGUUCACUGGCCAAUGUUAAGUUGUGUGGUGAGUGUACGGAAUGAUUUUCUGGUGACAGAGUGCAUUUGACAGUGACAUCAUUUAAUCAUAUAUGUAAUGUUUAAUUAAUGAUUACAAAAACCAUCAACACGUUUUAGUGUAUGCUCUCUUGUGACCUCAGAUAACAUAAUACUGUAUAUUGUAUUUUCAUGUUUUAUUGUGCCAUAUAUGUAUAUAAGAU
RNAcentral lists this long non-coding RNA (1076 nucleotides) under Mytilus galloprovincialis (Mediterranean mussel). Lineage: Eukaryota; Metazoa; Mollusca; Bivalvia; Mytilida; Mytilidae. The record is from RNAcentral.